Long non-coding RNA from Equus caballus (horse), 6730 nucleotides. The record is from Ensembl. NCBI's taxonomy places the organism in Eukaryota, Metazoa, Chordata, Mammalia, Perissodactyla, Equidae.
ACGGGGUGGCAAGGGGAGGGGAGAGAACAGCAUGGGGCUGAGCUGGAGAUGUUCCCCUUGUCCGUGCCCCACAGGUUGCAGGGAUAAUAACUCCAGUAGAAGUUCUGCGACCAGCUGUGGGGGCAUUGCAGGCAAAUGGAACAAUGUGUAAAACAACAGCAGAGGCAUGAAACUGCAGAACUCAUUAAUUCAGAUGCAAUGUGGGGAUGUUCCACAGCAGCUUCACGUGGAUGUUGUGAGGGUGAAAAAGGAGGAAACACAUUUUAGAUACAUAAGGAAACGUCCUAGAAAUCCAUCCGGUCUCCUUUGUUGAGCAAUAUUGCUGCAGGCGGAGGCCUCCCAGGGAUUUGCAAGUAAGAGUGAUGAGGACAAGAGUGUAUUCAAGGCAGCCUCUGGGCAAGGAAGGAUGAGAACUUGAAGGUGAAAAACUCUGAAACCCUCCCUGACCCUCAACUAUCAACUGGAUUAACUGGCCUUGGCGUUCUGCUCUGUAAAAUGGGGCACAUCUGCCUCCUAUAAUCCGGCAGGUUCCUGCGGUAUCCCAUGAACACAGCACAAUAAUUGAAGCUCAGUUUCCUCAUCUGUCCAAUGGGGAUACUAAGAAUGACAGCCUCUCGUGGUGGUUAUAAGGCGUCAACAAGAUCACUGAAGUGAAGUACCUCCAACAGUGCCUGUUGAGUAGUAGACAUAGUGAAACCGAGGCUCAGAGAGUCAAGAAAAUCACCUAAUUUUACAUCAGAAAUUAGCGUGGAGACACAAGAGAGAGGAUAGAAACUGAUGGGCAGUUGGUGGAGUGGCCGGCCUCUGCAAAGUGGCCUGAUCGGAUUCCUGAGCUUCUAGGUCAUCGGGCAGGACUGCGACUGGCCGGAGCCAAUGCUACUCCCUCCUGACCUUGAAAGGUGUGACAAGUGGACUUGCAUUCAUUGCUCUACAAGCCUCUAUUGAGUAUCUGUGAUGUCCUGGCAUCGAUCUUAUCUGUGUGAGAAUUUGGUGAGCCAGCAAAGGAGGUGUCUGUGAAGAGCAAAUGAGAUAAACCACAGGGAAAAGCUUUGUAAAUUGAAAGGAGCUAUACAAAGGCUAACCAAUCAGAAGGCCAUCUUCCCCUCAGCUUCCUGCUUAUCCAGACUCUGGAAGAAUUACUCAAGUCCUAACUUCCUUUUCAUUACACUUCUUAGGAGUACAAGGGAACUUCCACUUCUGCCAUGGUCAGGAAGGAGAGGAAUCAAGAGACUACCACCAGAACUGCUGACUUCAAAGUAAGAAUCAGGAAGCCACUUCGGACCCCUACACAACUAUCUAAUCACCCAUGAAGCUGGUGAUUAGGAACCUUCGAUCUGCUGGAGAAAAUCCCGAAGUCUUUACAACUACUUGCCAGUGGCAGUAGCAGAAUUCAGGGAAAUGAACUUCUAAAUCUUGUGGGUGUAUCUAAAUGCAGACCAUGUUAAUUGGGUAAAAGAAACAGAGGUGGAGAUAAGCUUGUUCUCUGUACUGGGUAAACUUCAUGUUUGCAUUUAGUUUUGGGUGGCCUACUUUAAGAGGGGAAGACAAAGGGGCCGGACCAGUGGCACAGCGGUUAAGUUCGCACGUUUCUCUUCUCCAUGGCCCGGGGUUUGCUGGUUCGGGUCCCAGGUGCGGACAUGGCACCGCUUGGUAAAAGCCAUGCUGUGGUAGGCAUCCCACGUAUAAAGUAGAGGAAGAUGGGCAUGGAUGUUAGCUCAGGGCCAGUCUUCCUCGCAAAAAGAGGAGGAUUGGCAGUAGUUAGCUCAGGGCUAAUCUUCCUCAAAAAAAAAAAAAAAAAAAAAGAGGGGAAGAGAUAAAUAACGUAUUUGAGGACAUGAUGACGAAGAGACCAAAAACCAUACUAUGUAAGGAAAAACUGAAGGAUCUGGAGAUUUGUAGCUGGGAGAGAGAAAACUCAAGAACGUUAUGCCAGCUUUUGCUGGAUAUUUGAAAGGCUAGUUCUUUCCGGUCCUUAAGAGUAGGAUGAAAACUAUAGGAGAUAGAUUUUAAUAGACAUGAAGAAGCUUCUACUAGGCAGAGCUAUGGAAUGAUUGGGCUGCUCUGGAGUUCUCCAUCUCUAGAAGUACCCAACCGUUAUUUACAUGACCGGGUGAUACGGGUGUUGUGGAAAAUCUUGUAUUUUUAGAUACUAGAGACUAGAAUUUGUAUUCAUGAUGAAGUUGGUUAAUUUUGGCAAAGCCCUUCAUUUUCCUCAAUUUUCCCAGGUAACUAUGUCUAUGUUAAUGCUAGAUUUAGAAAGAAAUGGAAUAGGAGGAGUCUGAACACAGCAUCUCUUUCAGGACCCAAAAUAAGAUCUUAUGUAGGGGAGUGGCUAUGAGGCACUCAGGAGAGGGCCAGAACAUGGUUGAAAUAAUCCCUUCAGGGGUUAGAGAGGGAUAAGAAACAGCAGUACUUCCCAAAAAAGGAUUUUAGGAAUAUAUCCCAUAUGAGAUUUGGGUGGAAUUGGGAUUUGACUGAGGGGUAUAAUGGGGUUUGGUAUAAAUAAUUACUAAGUAUUGAGCAUACUAUGUAUGUAACAUAUAUCAUUUAAUACUCACAACAUCCUUUUGAGAGAUGCUUUUUUUUUUUUAAAAAAAAAGAUUGGCACCUGAGCUAACAUCUGUUACCAAUCUUUUUUUUUUUCUUCUCCUCCCCAAGCCCCCCAGUACAUAGUUGUAUAUUCUAGUUGCAGGUCCUUCUAGUUGUGGCAUGUAGGAUGCCACCUCAGCAUGGCCGGAUGAGUGGUGCCAUGUCUGCGCCCAGGAUUCAAACCAGUAAAACCCUGGGCUGCCGAAGCUGAGUGAGCAAACUUAGCCACUCAUCCACGGGGCCAGCCCCCUUGAGAGCUUCUUGAUUCACACAUGAGGAAAACGAGGCUUAGAAAGGCUAAAUGACUUGUCCAACGCAGCAGAGUUACUAAGGGGCAGAGCCAGAAUUUGAACCCUCAGGUUCAUGCCCAUGCAUUCCACGACAUCGUGCCCCAUGUCCAAGUUGGGAAAGAAUAAAAAUCCAGCUGAUAAGACAGGCUAGGCUGUUAACAACCUGAUCUACACAGCAGGGCCAAAAGGGUAAGGUAAGGCACAUAUCGGAACCAUCUGGGCAAUGCACCACCCAUUUUUCUUCCCAUAGUCAGAAUAACACAGUCAAACCUAUAUAUAGACAAAGAAUGCUAUUUCUGAGACAUCCUUAAUAACUAAUUUCAGCACCAUUUAUUCUUGCUACAAUUUUUCAUCCAUAAAAUAGAAAUAAAAGUAAUUGCUCAAAAGGUUAUGUGAGGAUUCAUUGAGAUAAUGUAUAUGAAAGUGCUCGCCUAGAGUGUGGUUGCUAAAUAGAGGGGAGUCGACUCUGAGUUCCCAGACCAGGAUUUGUUUUGCUUUUAAUGACAUUCUCAGUCUUAGACCGUCUGGUCAGUUAGAAGGACAACUGAAGAAGAGACAGUCUUGAAUUCUGGGGAGUCUUGUACCAAGAAAAAGAAUUUCACUUGCAAAAUGUUAUCUGAGUCUACCUGUGGUUCUAUUCAAACAGGCAGGGGACGUAGGGACUUUAGCUUGUAUUCAGUGACUCCAAUUUAAGGUCAGGUUAAAACAUGUGAGCAUAAGGCCAAGUGAUGUAGUUUUCUGUACAGUCACUAUUUUCACAGAAGAGUAGGCAGCUGCUUAUGUGAUGUGAUCUGAAAGGCCUUCUGUCCUCAAAUCUCUCCUCUUUCAAUCAGACGUAGAAUCUGAAAUUCCGUUCUGAGAAAUCUAUCCUGGGUUAAAGCAGCACUUCUCAAACUUUGCUAUGUAUCAAGAAUCACCUGAAGAAUUGAUUUAAAAUAUUGGCCCUGGGACUACUGAGUCAGACUCCGGGGGUUGGGGCUCAGGCAACUGUUAUCAACCAGAUGAGUCUAAUACACAAGAAAGUUUGCGAAAUGCCAGAUCAAGGCAUUAUAUAGGUGCCAGGCUGGUGGCGCAGCAGUUAAGUUCAUGCGCUCAGCUUCAGCCGCCCGGGGUUCGCUGGUUCAGAUCCUGGGUAUGGACAUGGCACCGCUUAUCAAGCCAUGCUGUGGCAGGCAUCCCACAUAUAAAAUAGAGGAAGAUGGGCACAGAUGUUCGCUCAGGGCCAAUCUUCCUCAGCAAAAAGAGGAGGAUUGGCAGCAGGUGUUAGUUCAGGGCUGAUCUUUCUCAAAGGAAAAAAAGAAAGAAGGCAUUAUAUCUAUGUAAGUCCCCCAUUACAUUGCAAGUUUUCUCUCAGGGAGGUUGCCAUGGUUCUCAAAUUACAGCUUCUACCUCAUUCUACUAAAACUGUUCUUGUCAAUAUCAUCAGUAAGCUCUUUGUUGUCAACUCUAAUGGAUUCUUUUUGGUCCUCAUGUAUUAUGGUACCUCUUCUCGGCAUUUGAUGCUGUUUACUAUUCCUCCUCUCUUCGUCGCUGAGACACCAAUCUCUCUGUGUUUUCUGCCUUACCUCGCUGACGGAUCCUCAGUCUCCUUUGCUGGCUUGUCCUCCUCCAUUGAACUCUUCAUAUGGAGCUUCCGUCAGGGCUUGUAGCCAGACCCUCUGCUCUUCUCUGUAUACUUACUUCCUGGACUUAAAUAUCUAAUGGCCAGCACAUUUCCAAAUUUUUACCUCCUACUACUCUUCUCUCUUGAGCUCCAGUGUUGCGCUGCCAACCACCUACUUGAUAGAUCCACUUGGCUAUCUUAUGAUUAUCUUAAACUCAACAUGUUGAAAGUGAUCCCCUCGAACUCUCCCCAGCCCCCUGCCAACUUUCUCUAAUCUGCACUUCUCAGGAAGUGGUAACAUCGUCCACCCAGUCACUCAAAUUAGAACCCAGAAGUCAGAUUUCUCCCUCCUCACCCAUAUCUGCUUCAUCAGUAAGUCAUGUCAAUAUCCUCCCAAAUGAUUCUCGAGUCUUCCCAUCUCUCUAUUUCCCGUGACCACUAUCCAGCAAGUCAACCUCCUUUUUCCCAGAAUUCUUCCUGGGAUCCCUGCUUCAUCUCUUACCCCUUUUACAUCAUUCUCAAGGACACCAGAGAAUUCUUUUAAAUAAGUCAAAACAUAAAAACAUAAAUCAGACCAUUAAUUUCUCAAACUAUUCGGUGGCUUCCCACUGCAUUUAGAAUAAAAUUGAUUCCUCACCUGGGUCUCUGAGGCACCCACUAAUUUCUUCCUCCUCUUGGUCUAUAAGGCUCUGUAUCUGCUGGCUCACCACACUUCUCACAGUGUUCCAGACACACUGCCCUUCUUUAAAUUCCUCAAAUGCUCCAAAUCGUUCUCCUCCUCAGGGCCUUUGCUCUGUUCCUUCUGCCUGGAAUGAUCUUCACCUCCAUGACCGGUUCUUUCUCAUCCUUCAGAGCUUAGUUUCAGUCUCACCUUCUGUAGCCACUCUCCCUAAGUAGGUAUUCUCUGUUAUUCUCCAUGAAAAUGUUAAAAGAAAACAUAAGAGAAUAUUUUAAUUUUCUGGAAGUUUGAAAAAGUUUUCCAAGCAUGGCAUGAAACCUAGAAACCAUAAAGAUAAAAAUUGAUGGAUUUGACUAAAUUAAGCAUUUAACAUUUCUGUAUUUCAGAACUGAAAGGUGGAAAAUGCACUGGGAAAAGUCUUUGCAAAGUAUUCUAAGAAAUUAUUCUUUUUAAGAUUUUAGUUUUCCUUUUUCUCCCAAAGCCUCCUGGUACAUAGCUAUGUAUUUUUUAGUUGUGGGUCCUUCAAGUUGUGGCAUGUGGGAUGCUGCCUCAGCAUGGCUUGAUGAGCAGUGCCCUGUCUGCGCCCAGGAUUUGAACCGGCGAAACCCUGGGCCGCUGAAGUGGAGCAUGAGAACUUAACCACGUGGCCUUGGGGCUGGCCCCAGAAAUUUUUUUAAAUCAAUAAGAAAAGAUAAGUAAAUCAAUAGAAAAAUGGGCAAAAGAUACAACUUAUAGAAGAAAAAUAAAAAAUAGCCAGUAAAAAUAUUCUAAGAAAUAUGCUUAACUUUACUCUUAAAAACAUCAGAUUUUUAUCCUGUUGAAUUAGCAAGAAUUAAAAAGAUUUACAAAUACUCAGGUCAGAUGUGUGUGCAAGCAGUUAACUUUCAUACAGUAAUGUCAAAAAUAACAGUUAACUUUCUUAGAUGCAUUGUAAAUUAGUGUAACAUUUUUGUUAAACGAUUUGGCCACAUUUAUUGAAAUUUAGAAUGUGCCUUACCUUUGACCCAACACUGUUUUGAAUUAGAAAUUUUAGGAACUCACCCUAAAACAAUACUUUCACAAUGUGCAUAUAUAUUCAUAUUCAUAUACAUUCACAUACAUAUUUAGUAUAUUCAUAUAUGAUACAUAUUUACAUAUCAAUAUAUGUUUAGCUUGGCAUUGUUUUAAUAAAAAAACUGGAAACCAUCUGAUUAUGCAAUUAAAUAAUUAUACGUUCAUACAAAGAAAUAUUAUGCAGCUGUUAAAAAGAACAAUGUGGAUUUAUAUAUUCCAUUUUGGAAAGAUAUGCUUUGAUAUAUUGUUAAAUUGAACAGAUUUAAAACUGAAUGGAAUGUGUAGUAAGGUCUCAUUUUUUAAAAUAAAGAUUCAAGUAUUUAUAAAUUGCAUAAAUAUGUUCAGGCAUGCAUGGGAAAAUAAGAAAAUGACUGAAAAUCUUAACCAUGACUGUAUUUGGGAAACUGGAUUUUCAAAAACUUGCCCUUUUUACAUCGUACAUUUAUGUAUCCUAUAUUUCUCUAUUGUUUGGAUUUUUUUUAACCACAAGUUUGUACUGUUCUGUAAUUAAAAAAA